UAGCUCACGGCACUAACAUGGCUUCCUCCAUCACAAACGAGCAAGCGCCGCUGAUGUGUGCGCGCCUCCCCCCGCUCUGUCCGGAUGGUUCAGUCCAUAUUGUAAGUAGCAAUUCUAGGUCAGGUUGACUUGCCGCCGUCGAGCACCACCACUGACUGACUGCUGGAGAUCAAUGUGAGGGGACGGUGCUCCGAAACUCCCGCAAUGAUUUACCAGAUCAGAUGCAGCAUGUCCCCUUUUCAUUGAAUGGAAAAUAGCAGCUCUGCUAAGCAUCAUAAGAAGAAAGGAAUAAGACAUUGAGGUUCGGACCAACGUGAAGGAAAGAAAGGUGAAAUUUAGAGAAGAGUAGCAGGUUGGGAAGGUGGAGGUGUUGCCAAAUCACUGAUGAUUACACACCGUUCACAGAAAAACGCACAACCAGCGACACCAUGGCAACAACACUCUUCUCAGUCCAGGCAGGCCAUGGCACAUUUGGGCCGCGUCCAACAGACGUACGAAUGCUGAACUCCACAGCCUGAAGGAGAAACGGACACCGGAUAGCUCUGGGACUUAACACACAUGGGAAGAGAGAGAUACGCUUCAGCAAGUGUUCCCCUGCUCAGUCUGAUGACAUGCAGUUUCGUCCUGGAUGCCGGGACACUGCGUCCAUCACGUCAUCACCACGGAGCCAUGACGGGCGUCCUGAGAGCAAUCAUAUCACAAAAACCUUGAGGUGGAAGAUUGUGUGCUGUUUUAUUGGGAUAUAAGGCAAGGAUGUGCUGUAACAUCUAAUAUUUACACUGUAAAAGUAAAAUGUUGGGUUGUUUAAAGGGACACUCCACUUUUUUUGAAAAUAUGCUCAUUUUCCUGCUCCCCUAGAGUUAAACAUUUGAUUCUUACCGUUUUGGAAUCCAUUCAGCCGAUCUCCGGGUCUGGCGCUAGCACUGUUAGC
Molecule: non-coding RNA, 931 nt
Organism: Misgurnus anguillicaudatus (oriental weatherfish)
Lineage: Eukaryota; Metazoa; Chordata; Actinopteri; Cypriniformes; Cobitidae
Source: RefSeq, a predicted model, not a curated record